Molecule: ribosomal RNA, 337 nt
Filed under: uncultured bacterium
Lineage: Bacteria
Description: bacterial SSU rRNA
Rfam family: Bacterial small subunit ribosomal RNA
Source: RNAcentral
AGAGUUUGAUCCUGGCUCAGGAUGAACGCUGGCGGCGUGCUUAAUACAUGCAAGUCGAACGGAGAAUGUAGCAAUACAUUCUUAGUGGCGAACGGGUGAGUAACGCGUUGGUGACCUGCCUCGAAGAGAGGGAUAACAGUCCGAAAGGAUUGCUAAUACCUCAUAUGGUUAUAGGGUUUAGAAGCCUGUAACUAAAGGAGUAAUUCACUUCGAGAGGGACCUGCGUACCAUCAGCUAGUUGGUGAGGUAACGGCCCACCAAGGCGAUGACGGUUAGGGGACCUGAGAGGGUGGCCCCCACAAUGGAACUGAAACACGGUCCAUACACCUACGGGUGG